This 1162-nucleotide long non-coding RNA is filed under the name Equus caballus (horse). RNAcentral describes it as "lncRNA (ENSECAG00000051961.1)". Lineage: Eukaryota; Metazoa; Chordata; Mammalia; Perissodactyla; Equidae. The record is from RNAcentral.
CGCAUGGGGGGCAGGUGGUUCUGUGGUGGCUGAAAUGUGACUCCAGCAUGUGUGAAACAGGACUCUGGUGUGGCUGACCCAUGUGUCAGGCAUGGCUGACUCGUGACUCAGGAAUCAUCACCCAGUAUCCAUGUGUGAUUGAAAUGUGAUCACACAGGCAUCACACGUCGUACAUGGGUGGCUCCCACGUGACUACAGGUUGCUGAAACGUGGCUCCCACAUACUCAGUCACGGCUGCCAAGUGGCUCACGCAUGGCUCAGCUGUGUCUCAUGGGUGGCUCCCCUAUGGUUCAUGCGUGGUUCAAGCAUGGAACACCUGUGUUUCCCUGGUUCUUCAAAUGUGGUUCAAGGUUGUCUCCCAUGUGGUUCCUGCAUGGCUCACACAUGGUUUGCGUGUAAUUCAGGCGUGGAUCUCACAUGAGUCGUCUGGGUCACAUAUGGUUGGGACACUCUCACACGUGAUUCAGGCAUAUCUCAGCCAUCGUACAUGUUAUGCAGACGUGCCACAGAACUGGCUCCCAUGUGGCUGACACAUGAUACAGGCUUUGGUCCCGCAUGGCUCACACAUGGUUCAGGUGUGGCUCAUGCAUGUCUGUGGUGUUGGUCAGGCGUGGCUCACAUGUGUUUGUGGCAUGGGUGGCAUGUGGUUCAGGCAUGGCAGGCAAGUUGUGCCAGUGUGGCUGGCACGUGCUUCAAGUGAGGCUGACCUGUUGUUCAAGUGUGACUGGCACUUGGUUCAGGCCUGGCUGGCACGUGACUUGGCGUGGCUGAGCCUUGACACAGGCCUGGUUCACACGUUGUUCAGGCGUGGCUGACACAGGACUCAGCUGUGGUGGAAACGUGACAGAGGUGUGCCUGAAACGUCACGCAAACGUGGUUCACACAUGGUUCAUGCAUGGCCUUCAUGUGGUUCAGGGCUGGCUGGUGCAUCAUGCACGCAUGGGUGGGAGGUGGUUCAGGCGUGGCUGAAACCUGACUCCGGCAUGUGUGAAACAGGACUCCGGUGUGGCUGACACAUGUGUCAGGCAUGGCUGACACGUGACUCAGGCAUUCAUCGCCCAGUAUCCAUGUGUGACAGUAAAGUGAUCACGCAGGAGUCACAUGCCAUACAUAGGUGGCUCCCACGUGACUACAGGUUGCUGAAACAUGGCUCCCACAUACU